GCAUAUCAAUAAGCGGAGGAAAAGAAAAUAACAAUGAUUCCCUUAGUAACGGCGAGUGAAGGGGGAAAAGCUCAAAUUUUAAAUCGGCGUAGGUUUUACCUAGUCGAGCUGUAAUUUGAAGAAGCGUUUUCUACGUCCUGGUCGGCCCAAAUCCUUUGGGAUAAGGUAUCAUGGAGGGUGAGAAUCCCGUCCGGUUGACCUCAGGAUGUUCUACGUGACGCUCUCUAAGAGUCGAGUUGUUUGGGAUUGCAGCUCAAAAUGGGAGGUAAAUUUCUCCUAAGGCUAAAUACAGGCGAGAGACCGAUAGCGAACAAGUACCGUGAGGGAAAGAUGAAAAGAACUUUGAAAAGAGAGUCAAACAGUACGUGAAAUUGUUGAAAGGGAAACGAUUGAAGCCAGUCGUACCGUCGGGAAUUCAACUUCUUAAGUGCUUGUCGUGGGUGACGUUGAGCUUCGCGGCCUUCGUCGCUUUGCGUUAUGGUACUUUUGUUGUGCACUUUUCCGUAUGGUAGGUCAAUAUCGAUUUUGAUCGUCAUAAAAUGAUCGAAGGAAUGUGGCUUCGAUCUCGUAUCGGAGUGUUAUAGCCUUUGGUAGAUGUGACGAUUGGGAUCGAGGAUUGCAACGAAUACCCUUUGGGCUAUCCGUCUGACCUCUGAAAGUCGCUCGGGUGUCGAAAGCGUGCUUAUGACAUUCUAGUGGGCGGUCAAUAGGUUAGAACGCGAUUACAUUCGUUAAGGAUGUUGACGUAAUGGCUUUAAACGAC
RNAcentral lists this ribosomal RNA (763 nucleotides) under uncultured Glomus. RNAcentral describes it as "eukaryotic LSU rRNA". It matches the Rfam family "Eukaryotic large subunit ribosomal RNA", at positions 38 to 648 of the family's 3401-position model. The record is from RNAcentral. Lineage: Eukaryota; Fungi; Glomeromycota; Glomeromycetes; Glomerales; Glomeraceae.